Molecule: unclassified non-coding RNA, 2060 nt
Filed under: Polistes fuscatus (common paper wasp)
Lineage: Eukaryota; Metazoa; Arthropoda; Insecta; Hymenoptera; Vespidae
Description: heterogeneous nuclear ribonucleoprotein R, transcript variant X7
Source: RNAcentral
CUCGUGUCGCUGGGUUCGAGCGUAUCUUUGCGCGUCGUUUUGUGAACCCCGUAGUUCGCAAUCACGUUGACGUCUGUCGCCAUUUCCUCGCACAGGGGGAAAGCAUUCGUUUAUUUUCUAAGGUAAAUCGUCAAGGAUUUAUUCUACAAGGAUAAAACGACGACGAUUUUAAUCUAAUCGUUAUAUAUUUAAUAUCCUAAGAUAUUAUUAUUCAAGUGCAAUUGAAAUUAAUACUAAAUGCGUGUGUCCAAAGACGAAGAAGGAACUAUGGCAGAAGGAAAUGGGGAAAUAAAAAUGGAAGAGAAGCAGUCGAAGGAGGAAAUGGAAUAUACAGAACGGACAGAAGACUACACAAAACUAAUCCAAUACGGACUAGAUGAAAAAGUGGCUGCGAAACUUGAUGAAAUUUACAAGACGGGAAAGCUGGCACAUGUGGAUUUGGAUGAAAGGGCAUUAGAUGCUUUAAAGGAAUUUCCAGUUGAAGGCGCAUUAAAUGUACUCACACAAUUCCUUGAAUCUAAUUUAGAACAUGUGUCCAACAAAUCAGCAUUUCUCUGUGGCGUAAUGAAAACUUAUAGGCAAAAAAGUCGUGCCGGUCAAGGUACUGGUACGAGUACGACAUCUAAGGCACCUGAUGAGGAUAAAAUCAAGAUGAUACUUGAAAGAACUGGUUAUCCAUUGGAUGUAACAACAGGACAAAGAAAAUAUGGCGGACCGCCACCAAAUUGGGAGGGCCCGACUCCAGGAACUGGUUGUGAAGUGUUUUGUGGUAAAAUCCCAAAAGAUAUGUAUGAAGAUGAGUUAAUACCGUUAUUCGAAAAAUGUGGCAAAAUUUGGGAUUUGAGACUGAUGAUGGAUCCUAUGUCAGGUUGCAACAGGGGAUACGCAUUUAUCACUUUCACUAACAGGGAUGCUGCUCAAUUGGCUGUCCGUGAGCUGAAUGAUUAUGAGAUUCGGAAAGGGAAAAAGAUUGGUGUUACCGUAUCUUAUAACAAUCACCGCUUGUUUGUGGGAAAUAUUCCAAAGAAUCGAGACCGAGAUGACUUGUUCGAAGAGUUUACAAAGCACGCACCGGGCCUGACUGAGGUGAUUAUCUACAGUUCACCAGAUGACAAAAAGAAGAACAGAGGUUUCUGCUUUCUAGAAUAUGAAUCUCAUAAAGCAGCCUCAUUAGCAAAACGAAGACUAAGCACUGGUCGCAUCAAGGUCUGGGGCUGUGAUAUCAUAGUUGAUUGGGCUGAUCCACAGGAAGAGCCUGAUGAAUUAACAAUGUCCAAAGUACGAGUGUUAUAUGUUAAAAAUUUAACGCAAGAUUGUUCUGAAGAAAAAUUAAAAGAAUGUUUCGAACAAUAUGGAAAAAUUGAAAGAGUUAAAAAAAUUAAGGACUACGCUUUUGUGCAUUUUGAAGACAGGGAUAAUGCUGUAAAGGCAAUGAACGAGUUAAAUGGUAUAGAAAUUGGUGGUUCGCAUAUAGAAAUUUCACUAGCUAAGCCUCCAUCUGACAAAAAGAAGAAAGAAGAAAUUCUUAGAGCAAGGGAACGAAGAAUGAUGCAAUCAUUGCAAAGUCGUGGCGGAGGGUCUCCUUCCCAUCCUGGAAUGAUGGGAGGCCCGAUGCCAGUUCGUGGUCCUGGACAAGGUCCUAGAGGCACCGGUGCAGGUAUGCGUGGACAAAUGGGACGAGGCGAUUAUGCUCUCAAGGAAAUAGAUUAUGAUUACGACUAUUACGGUUAUGGGGAUUAUCGAGGUGGCUACAGUGAUCCAUAUUACGAUGACUAUUUUCGAUACGAAGAUUGCUAUUUCGAUUAUGCGCCGCCUCCGCCACCUGCCAGAGGGAGAGGCAGGCAGCCUCAACCGCUGCCAGUGCAGUAGGUUGUGUCGCUUAAAGUUUCUUCGCCAACCAAUACAGUUCGCUUUAUCGCUUUACUACAUUGGAUAACUCUGCUAACUCUACUGCUGUAUGUAAAAAGAUUUGGCUGGGCGUGGGCGUGGAGUGGUGCCGCGUGGCCGAAUCGGUGGCCCGCAAACCACCCGUGGGCCAGUCAGGGGGGGGCGCAACCCCG